AGCUAUCCGCAUGCGAAGUUUCUCUUGUACAUUACGAAGACAUGGGGAUCCCGAAAGAUGUGGCAAAACUGGGCGUUCGUCACGGCAUGUGGGGAGCUGUAAAAAAGUUACACUCAGGCAUGAGGGCGUACCAGAGUGCAAGAAAAACCGAUACUUCAUUGUCUAAAUGUGCACUCAUGGCAAGAAUUACAACAAAGAUCUCUUGUGAUGAGAACAUAAGUUCUCCCGGUUCCGGUCAUGUUUCAAGGGAAGAUGAAAACAGUCAAAGUACGGUUAUUAUUAAGAGGAAGAACG
Molecule: long non-coding RNA, 294 nt
Filed under: Gossypium barbadense (sea-island cotton)
Lineage: Eukaryota; Viridiplantae; Streptophyta; Magnoliopsida; Malvales; Malvaceae
Description: long non-coding RNA (GBAR_LNC000036)
Source: RNAcentral